Meriones unguiculatus (Mongolian gerbil) is the source of this 1668-nucleotide long non-coding RNA. RefSeq lists it as uncharacterized. NCBI's taxonomy places the organism in Eukaryota, Metazoa, Chordata, Mammalia, Rodentia, Muridae. The transcript is spliced from 4 exons. The record is from RefSeq and is a predicted model, not a curated record.
AGUGCCUACUGUGUCGUGUGCUGAAGUGUAGUGAAUAAAUACAAUCGGAGAGCUGAACAUUUAAGUCCAAUCAGCCCACUUUGCUACAGCUUUACUGGGUGAGGAACACUGUUGGCACGUUACCCAGCAGAGGAGGGACUAUCAGGACAGGGUUUAUCUGUGUAUCCCUGGCUGUCCUGGAACUCAGAGAGAUCCAGCUGCCUCUGUCUCCUGAGUGCUGGGAUUAAAAGUGUGCACCACCUCCACCUGUCGUAUUAAUUAACUUUAAAGCCACACCAGCAGCCCGAGCGAGAAUGUGGCCACAGGAGGGGCUGUGCUAAGUGCAGGACAUCCUCAACAGGACACCACGCAUGAAGAAGAAAGAACUGGUUCACAGUUCUUCCUACAGAGUGAUCACAACUGUAGGUCUAUACAACCAAAGAGGAAAUUAAAAAGUAAACUGUGAAAACAGAAAGCCAUGUUAAACAAAGAUCUGCCUGCUCACCAAGGAUCAGCCACGUGGCAAUCAGAGGACAAAGGCCGGCAGCCUGUGGGAGAGAGUGCUGGUGUUGCCACUCACUGUGGAAGGUUAAACAGAUACUAGUACCAACUGGCGAAAGGAGUUACAGAGCUCGGUGGAGAUGGUGGCAGAGAGGACCAUCACUCUUCCCACAACGAUGACUACCACAGACACCUUCAGACUUCGGGCAGUCCACAGUUCUGUAAGCAAGGAUCAGCAACUGUAUGUGCUUUCCUCCAGUAAACCUCGGAAUGAGACAGUGGCUCUUGGAAAUACAUCAAACCCAGUCCUUGAAUUACCUUCAAAUCAACCACAAAUACAAUUCAGCCAAACAGUUCAAGAUGCAACUUCUUGUGGUUGGGUGUAUUGCUCAGUGGCACGGUGUGUCUGCAGCAUGCACAGGGUCCUCGGUUAAUCCCCUGCGCAAACCCCCACCAAGAAAAACUUUUGCCUUUAUUGUGUAGUAAUUCAGAUAUAAGCCACACAAUCUUCUUCCCUUUGCCUUUCCCUACCUUUUCCUUCCUUUAACUUUCCCUUUAAGAGAAAGGGCUUCAUGUUGCCCAGGCUAGCCCUGGACUCCUGGACACAAGUGGUCAUGUCACCAUACGUGACAGAACUGCAUUUUCCCCUUCCUCCCCUACCUUUUCCUCUUUCCUUGUCCAUCUUCUCCUCUGUAGUAUCCCAUUCCCUGUGGGGACUUAAACCCAAGACCUCAUAUAUACUAGGCAAGUGGUUGGCACUGAGCCACAUUCCUGUCUUAGGCUCUCUAAUGAUCUUUUUAUUAAUCAUUAUGAAUUUAUAAGUUUCAGAAUAUUUUAUGCAUUUCAAUUAAAAUUGCAAACGUCCCAACACUGUAACUCAGUUCUUUUUAAAUAUGGCUUAUUGGGGUAUGGUUUAUGUACAUUGCAGUAGAUCUCAAGAACUUCUUUGCUUUCUAGAAUGGCAAAGUAUUCCCUGUUCAUUUAAUUUUUUUUUCCUUUUGAGAACCAUGUGCAGGCAUGCCCCUCCACACAUGCACAUGAGCAAGUACACAUGCACAAGCCACAUGCCAAAAAAAAAAAAAAUGAAACUAGAUUAAUUCAGACAUUCAUGUAAAGUCUAAAAUGAGACAAUGAAAAUUCUUCAAUAUGUAGGAACAGCAAGGACUUCCUGGGAUAGAUUCUAAGACU